GAGUUUGAUCGUGGCUCAGAACGAACGCUGGCGGCAGGCUUAACACAUGCAAGUCGAGCGCCCAGCAAUGGGAGCGGCGCACGGGUGAGUAACACGUGGGAACGUGCCCUAUGGUUCGGAAUAACGCAGGGAAACUUGCGCUAAUACCGGAUAAGCCCUUACGGGGAAAGAUUUAUCGCCAUUGGAGCGGCCCGCGUUGGAUUAGCUAGUUGGUGGGGUAAAGCCUACCAAGGCAACGAUCCAUAGCUGGUUUGAGAGAACGACCAGCCACACUGGGACUGAGACACGGCCCAGACUCCUACGGGAGGCAGCAGUGGGGAAUCUUGGACAAUGGGGGAAACCCUGAUCCAGCCAUGCCGCGUGAGUGAUGAAGGCCCUAGGGUUGUAAAACUCUUUCGGCGGGACGAUAAUGACGGUACCCGCAGAAGAAGCUCCGGCUAACUUCGUGCCAGCAGCCGCGGUAAC
Molecule: ribosomal RNA, 465 nt
Filed under: uncultured Alphaproteobacteria bacterium
Lineage: Bacteria; Pseudomonadati; Pseudomonadota; Alphaproteobacteria
Description: bacterial SSU rRNA
Rfam family: Bacterial small subunit ribosomal RNA
Source: RNAcentral